ACCCGACUAAAGACAACUAACCUUCCCGCGUAACAAAGGCAAACUGGUAGAAAAAUGGCAAAAUUCAUCAAAUUAUAGAAUUGGUACAAAUCUGUACUCCCGAAAUGGCCGCUUGGCCUCUAUUUUGUGCAAAAAAAUCACCGCCAGAAUAAACCCCAGAGCAGGCCCCCAAAUCCUUCUGAUCUUUCGAAUCCCUAAAUUUGAUCUAUGUUCUCGAUUUUAUUUAAUUUUCUUCAAUAUUUGGUUUCAUGACAAAGGAGAACAGAGAAGGUCAUCAAAAUCGGAAUUGAUAGGUGAUUUUUUGGGGGGGGGGGGGG
This 317-nucleotide long non-coding RNA is filed under the name Olea europaea (common olive). Its description in RNAcentral is "long non-coding RNA (OEUR_LNC010871)". Lineage: Eukaryota; Viridiplantae; Streptophyta; Magnoliopsida; Lamiales; Oleaceae. The record is from RNAcentral.